Non-coding RNA from Homo sapiens (human), 3472 nucleotides. The record is from RefSeq and is a predicted model, not a curated record. NCBI's taxonomy places the organism in Eukaryota, Metazoa, Chordata, Mammalia, Primates, Hominidae.
ACUCACCGAUUCUUACCUGCUCUGUUCCUUCUCCACUCACCCAUUCUUACCUGCUCUGUUCCCUGCACCCUUUCCCACUGUGCCCUCGGGAGUAACCAUCCUCACUAACGAACAACCCUUUGGGUCCUCUUCCUAACCAUACACACACCCUCUUUCUUCUGUCCUUAACCAAAGCCUGCCCUCUUCUCCCAGCCAGCACUCCACUUCCUUGAAGCCCUGUGGAGUAAAAGCUGACCCUGUGGUCAGAAGGGGGUCUGGUGUCCACCCAUUUUCCAGGCCCCUCUACACCUCUGAUGUGAACCCCAACACCUUAUGCUGGGUCCCCUCUGCCUGCACUGGGAGCCUUCCUCCAGCAGUGUACUCAUCACAGACGAUGACAGCAACCCCUCGCCUCGAGGUCUCCCUCUCCCUCCCAAGACUGUGCCUCCCUUCCUGCUCUCCUGCUCAGCUUCGUCUCCACUCUAUCACCUGUUCACUCCACCACAGCCUGGCUUUCAACACACUCUCCCUGCAUCCUAUUCCACUCAAAUAGCUGUGGCCAAAGGUAACACAUGAUGCACUGAUGGCAAGGCCAUAAGAAACUUCUCAGUCCUUCAUUUCUCGAUUUUAUAUGCUUUUUCCAUGCCCUCAUUGGAAGGGUUCCAGCCCCUUUCUCAUGAAUGUACAUCAAGGGCCAUCUGCUGGGACAUCCAAUUCCUGCUUAAUUCUGAGGUCCCCUGUGAAUGGAUUUGAAAAUGAUGACAGGGUGCUGUGCUUCUAAACUGGGUUCCAGUGAACCACGUGGCGAGAAUACUUAACAGACGAAGAGGAGACACACUGCAAGUAAAUGGGACUAAGGCUGGAGGGACAAGCAUGGCCUCAGGAAAUGCUGUGCCCCAAGACCUCGGGCUGAGUGGGACGGACGUGCUGCUGUUAGUGGAGGAGGUGGGGAGGGCUGGGCAGCAGAUGACAACUCCCCAUUGUGUGCUAGGGGCUCUGCACAGCAUUUUUCUUUCUUUUGUUUUUUCAGACAGGGUCUCACUGUGUCACCCAGGCUGGAGUGCAGUGGUGUGAUCAUGGCUCACUGCAGCCUCAACCUCCUGGGAUCAAAUGAUCCUCCCACCUUAGCCUCCUGAGUAGCUGGAAUUACAGGCAUGCACCACAACACCUGGCUAAUUUUUUUUUUUUUUUUUUGUAGAGACAGGGUUUUGCAAUGUUGCCCAGGCUAGUCUUGAACUCCUGGGCUCCGGUGAUCUGCCACCUUGACCUUUCAAAGUGCUGGGAUUACAGAUGUGAGUCACCGCGCCCUGCCUGCACAGAAUUGUUCAUAAGGCUGACAGACAAGCAGUUCUAAUGGAAGCUUUUAACUUGCCACGUGGAAAUUCAGAUGUUUGGGCUCAGAUUCACGCUCAUCUGAGGAAUCAAUUCUGUAGAGAAAAGCUCUAUGAGCCGCACUGCUGGGUGUCACCCAGUGACCUCACUGUGAGAAAGCAGGCACCAGCUUGGACUUCUUACCAGGACCACGGGUCUCUUAUGAGCUUGUCCUGACGUGGAGUGGAACCCUAGCCCUGGGAGACAUGCUGAGGAGGUUCCUUACACACACGGAGAGUGGGCAAGGCCCAGGAUCCUGAGAAAUGCACAGGACACAGCGGUUCCUUAACCCUCUAUGGCCUGAGGUUUUGUUAACAAAGUAAGAUAGGUGUUUUUAAUAUUUAAAAGAGACAGAAAACUUUGCAGUGUUAUUUAUGCAAUUGAUUGUCUCUAUAGCUAUUCUCUAGUUUCUUGAAACAAGACUAUAAGGUUUUUGACUUGGGGGACCUGAAAAUCCUUGCCAGGGCCAUAAUGGGUUAAAAUGGUAUUCAGAUCACCUCACAGCACAGCAACAUCAUCCCAAUGCCUUGAAAAUGAUAAAGUCAAAUCACAAAGCCAAGGCCUAAGCAUCCAGUCUCUUAGGAACACCAUAGGCCUCCUCAUAGCCAGAGAGAGAGGAGGUGCUUGGAAACCUCCAGACCUUGUUUUGGUAGCUGGGAGCUUGGAGCUCAGCCUCCUGAAUUCAGGCUGUUCAGAAAGCAUUUGUGCUGGCUUUCCCAGAAUCUCACUCCCUCAUUCCCCACCUACCGAACCCUGGAGUCCUGUUGGCAAGACUGGAGUAGGCAUUCCCACUUGGCGAGGAGGUAGCUGGGCUGGAGAGGGGGCUGUAGGAAGAGGGGUCUGCCGGGUAGGUGUGGCUCGUUCCAAUCCCAAAGGGAGAUGACUGAGUCUUGCUGGACUGAGAUGGGAUUUGCUACAAUCAGGACAAAGCAAAGAGAUGGAAAGCAUCACCAGCAGACCCCUGCACCCCAACCGAUGCCCCAGGCUGGUCGCAGGGGCAGUGCCUGCUCUGGGUUGACAGUGACUCCCCAUGACCCUCUUGUCUGGCUAGGCACAGGCCUGGGAUCAGCCCGGUGUGUGAGGGCCCAGGAACUGCAGGAUCUUUGGGGCACGUCUGGUUGAAGUUACUCCCCAGGGCUACGAGGAUCCGGGCCCUCUGGAGUCUGGUUACCAAGGCCUUGGCAUUAUGAACACCUAGAACUCCCUCAGCCCAAUCAACACCCACCCUCACAGUGACUAUGAGGGUCUGGGGAUGUCACAAGGGUUGGUGGUUUCAUGCCCUCCUGGCGCAGGGGCAGCCAGAGGUCCAGAGUAGUGAGGGGCUCAUUCUUGAUGAGGUGUCUCAACCUGCCCAACCUUUCCCUGCCAGCUGCCUCAGGGCAUGGCUGUAAGGAGAAAAGGCUGCUGAAGUUGCAGGCUGGGCACCUGGCUCUCCGAGAGCCCUGAGGGUGGAUGGUGCUCCUGAGUAGCCAGCUGCUGUUAGGGUGGUUGGUUCCAGCUAGGAGCCGACCCAUCCUCAGAACCGCAAUCCAAAGAAAACACUUCCCAGAGUGCUCUGCCUCUCUGGUCACCCAGGGGAGAUGCCCUCACAGAUGCCCAUACCUGUCCCGGAAAGGGCGGACGACUCCCUGUCCAUGCCACCUGACUCUGGUUUAGCUGCCGGGAGAUUUGGGACAUGUUCUGGCCCGUGGAAGAAGAGGACUGAAUAUCAUUCACUCCAGGCACAUGAACCACUGAAGAGCUAGAAAAGAGGAAAAUGCAUUUAUCCCGAGGACACACCUGGUUUGCAUGAGUCUACGUGCCCAGCCAACCACACAAUCUGCCCUGGGCCAUCUUCCUGGCUCUCUCUCCAUGCAGCACGUCACUAGAGAAAAUGACUCACACAUCGUGAGCCUCAAAGCCCCUUGGCCGUCCUCCUCUCCCUUCAGGGCUUCCUCUACACUGCUGAGUAGUCCUGCCAUGUCUAGUAGUCUGGUACUUCCUCUCCUCGUUCUCCCCAGGGUCUCCCACGCACUCUUCAGCCCCUAUCCUAUGCCUGUACAUCCUCUGCUCUCAGCAGAUGAUUUGGUUCCCAGAAAGAGAGAAGCUUCUUAGAAUAAAAAUCAGUCCCACUGUUCACUCA